AGUCGAGUUCUACUAGGCCAACACGUGUCCCGACUGCAUUAAAUUGUGACUUUUCCGUGUUAACUCAAAUAAAGCAUAAUCUCUCCAUCUUCCUCGCGAUUUCUUCUACCGUUGUGCGAUAACGAGUUUUUCACACUUUCAAUGGCGAGUCCAAGUGCUGUAUCUGAAGAUUGGAAAUCAGAUGACCUUGAAAUCGUCUCCGUCGGGGAUCUUUAUAACGGCUCCUGUGAUAAGAAGUACUGGAGUUCAUCUAGGGGAAAAAAAUUGUUUCCCUUAUCCUGUGGGCUAUAAAGCUGUUUGAGCUCACAAUGGGAGCACAUAUUAUAUGGAGAUUGAAGAAGGUGCUAAAGUACCUUUGUUUCUGGUAUGUUGCUGAUUCCCUUUAAAUCUUAUCAAAGGUUGUGCAUACGUUUUUUUUGGAAUGGAGCAGAGUCUUACUCUAUUGAUGCUGAUACUCCCGACACAAGUUUGGUAAGGAAUCAACAAUAUUUAAUUAGAUUUUAAGUUUAUCUUAAAUGUUGCAAGAUCAUGUGUUGAGAAUCUCUUUUACUGAUCCCUUUUAUUACAAUUUAACAAGAAAUCGCUAUCGCAAGAUCAUGUGUUGAGAAUCUGAACAUAUGAUACAAAUCAUUAGUUUUAAUCCCCUUUACGGGACUUUAUAGCCCACAAGAUAAGGGAAACAAUAUUUUCCCUGAUGAUUACUGGAGUAUUAAAAAGGAUCUCCACCUAUAAAAGGUAAGGGCCUCCACCAGUGAGAAUCAAUUUUCACAGUUCCAAUUUCAUUCAAUAUUUCUUUCUUGGUAUAAUCAUAAUGGCUAAGCAGUCUUUACUACUUGCUAAUUUGAAGGCCGGUUGCUGUUCUUCCACUGUAGAUGUGCAGUUACUCAGAUUCUGGGAAGUUGAUGGGAGUUGUGGAUUCCUUUUCAGUCAAGUCUGUAAUGGAAUUUGUGUCCUCAUGUUAAACUGAUUGUCAUCUAUAGACUGUCAUAACUGUUUUUAUGAUCCAGUUCUUCAUGAUUCUAAAAAAAUGUAGCCUUUUAUAUCUACAUGUGCUUGAAUACGACGGUCUGCUCCAACUCUGCUUUGAUUCUAUGGAAAACCGUUUCAUGUGCAGCUCUUCCCACCAGCAAGAGAGGAAUGGCUGUGGCUACACAUGCCGAGCUACUUGCUGCGGAGAACGAGCUACUUGCUGCGGAGAACGAGCUACUUGCUGGGGAAGGCACCUCAGUCAUGAAAGGUGCGGUGUAACUACAGCUAUGGUUGCAAUAAAACGUCACACAUGAAACAAGCCAGAGUGAUCAAAAUUCCAAAAGCAUAAUACUUCGAAAUCCUGGAGUAAUCAUAAAGACUAUUGUGCUUUUGUUUGGUGUUUAUAGAAAUAGAUGUCAUAUUCAACAAAUGCCAAUAUCAUAGUAUUUUAGAUCACUUAUAAUUAAUAAUAUUUAUUUGGUUUCUACUGCAGUCGAGCUCAUUGUAAUAAAACAAAUCUACUUUUGAAUUUUGAAAGGAUAAUUGUGAAUUAAA
Molecule: RNA transcript, 1524 nt
Organism: Brassica oleracea var. oleracea
Lineage: Eukaryota; Viridiplantae; Streptophyta; Magnoliopsida; Brassicales; Brassicaceae
Exons: 5
Source: RefSeq, a predicted model, not a curated record